This 472-nucleotide ribosomal RNA is filed under the name uncultured organism. RNAcentral's name for it is "partial 16S ribosomal RNA". It matches the Rfam family "Bacterial small subunit ribosomal RNA", at positions 333 to 797 of the family's 1533-position model. The record is from RNAcentral.
ACACUCCUGCGGGAGGCGGCAGUGGGGAAUUUUGGACAAUGGGCGAAAGCCUGAUCCAGCAAUGCCGCGUGAGUGAAGAAGGCCUUCGGGUUGUAAAGCUCUUUUGUCAGGGAAGAAACGGUGAAAGCUAAUAUCUUUUGCUAAUGACGGUACCUGAAGAAUAACCACCGGCUAACUACGUGCCAGCAGCCGCGGUAAUACGUAGGGUGCAAGCGUUAAUCGGAAUUACUGGGCGUAAAGCGUGCGCAGGCGGUUUUGUAAGUCUGAUGUGAAAUCCCCGGGCUCAACCUGGGAAUUGCAUUGGAGACUGCAAGGCUAGAAUCUGGCAGAGGGGGGUAGAAUUCCACGUGUAGCAGUGAAAUGCGUAGAUAUGUGGAGGAACACCGAUGGCGAAGGCAGCCCCCUGGGUCAAGAUUGACGCUCAUGCACGAAAGCGUGGGGAGCAAACAGGAUUAGAUACCCUUGUAGUCCC